Molecule: ribosomal RNA, 2923 nt
Filed under: Campylobacter coli
Lineage: Bacteria; Pseudomonadati; Campylobacterota; Epsilonproteobacteria; Campylobacterales; Campylobacteraceae
Description: 23S ribosomal RNA
Rfam family: Bacterial large subunit ribosomal RNA
Source: RNAcentral
AAAAAAGGUAAGCUACUAAGAGCGAAUGGUGGAUGCCUUGACUGGUAAAGGCGAUGAAGGACGUACUAGACUGCGAUAAGCUACGGGGAGCUGUCAAGAAGCUUUGAUCCGUAGAUUUCCGAAUGGGGCAACCCAAUGUAUAGAGAUAUACAUUACCUAUAUAGGAGCGAACGAGGGGAAUUGAAACAUCUUAGUACCCUCAGGAAAAGAAAUCAAUAGAGAUUGCGUCAGUAGCGGCGAGCGAAAGCGCAAGAGGGCAAACCCAGUGCUUGCACUGGGGGUUGUAGGACUGCAAUGUGCAAGAGGUGAGUUUAGCAGAACAUUCUGGAAAGUAUAGCCAUAGAGGGUGAUAGUCCCGUAUGCGAAAAACAAACCUUAGCUAGCAGUAUCCUGAGUAGGGCGGGACACGAGAAAUCCUGUCUGAAGCUGGGUCGACCACGAUCCAACCCUAAAUACUAAUACCAGAUCGAUAGUGCACAAGUACCGUGAGGGAAAGGUGAAAAGAACUGAGGUGAUCAGAGUGAAAUAGAACCUGAAACCAUUUGCUUACAAUCAUUCAGAGCCCUAUGUAGCAAUACAGGGUGAUGGACUGCCUUUUGCAUAAUGAGCCUGCGAGUUGUGGUGUCUGGCAAGGUUAAGCAAACGCGAAGCCGUAGCGAAAGCGAGUCUGAAUAGGGCGCUUAGUCAGAUGCUGCAGACCCGAAACGAAGUGAUCUAUCCAUGAGCAAGUUGAAGCUAGUGUAAGAACUAGUGGAGGACUGAACCCAUAGGCGUUGAAAAGCCCCGGGAUGACUUGUGGAUAGGGGUGAAAGGCCAAUCAAACUUCGUGAUAGCUGGUUCUCUCCGAAAUAUAUUUAGGUAUAGCGUUGUGUCGUAAUAUAAGGGGGUAGAGCACUGAAUGGGCUAGGGCAUACACCAAUGUACCAAACCCUAUCAAACUCCGAAUACCUUAUAUGUAAUCACAGCAGUCAGGCGGCGAGUGAUAAAAUCCGUCGUCAAGAGGGAAACAACCCAGACUACCAGCUAAGGUCCCUAAAUCUUACUUAAGUGGAAAACGAUGUGAAGUUACUUAAACAACCAGGAGGUUGGCUUAGAAGCAGCCAUCCUUUAAAGAAAGCGUAAUAGCUCACUGGUCUAGUGAUUUUGCGCGGAAAAUAUAACGGGGCUAAAGUAAGUACCGAAGCUGUAGACUUGAUUUUAUCAAGUGGUAGGAGAGCGUUCUAUUUGCGUCGAAGGUAUACCGGUAAGGAGUGCUGGAGCGAAUAGAAGUGAGCAUGCAGGCAUGAGUAGCGAUAAUUAAUGUGAGAAUCAUUAACGCCGUAAACCCAAGGUUUCCUACGCGAUGCUCGUCAUCGUAGGGUUAGUCGGGUCCUAAGUCGAGUCCGAAAGGGGUAGACGAUGGCAAAUUGGUUAAUAUUCCAAUACCAACAUUAGUGUGCGAUGGAAGGACGCUUAGGGCUAAGGGGGCUAGCGGAUGGAAGUGCUAGUCUAAGGUCGUAGGAGGUUAUACAGGCAAAUCCGUAUAACAAUACUCCGAGAACUGAAAGGCUUUUUGAAGUCUUCGGAUGGAUAGAAGAACCCCUGAUGCCGUCGAGCCAAGAAAAGUUUCUAAGUUUAGCUAAUGUUGCCCGUACCGUAAACCGACACAGGUGGGUGGGAUGAGUAUUCUAAGGCGCGUGGAAGAACUCUCUUUAAGGAACUCUGCAAAAUAGCACCGUAUCUUCGGUAUAAGGUGUGGUUCGCUUCGUAUUAGGAUUUACUCCGAAAGCGAAGAAACUUACAACAAAGAGUCCCUCCCGACUGUUUACCAAAAACACAGCACUCUGCUAACUCGUAAGAGGAUGUAUAGGGUGUGACGCCUGCCCGGUGCUCGAAGGUUAAUUGAUGGGGUUAGCAUUAGCGAAGCUCUUGAUCGAAGCCCGAGUAAACGGCGGCCGUAACUAUAACGGUCCUAAGGUAGCGAAAUUCCUUGUCGGUUAAAUACCGACCUGCAUGAAUGGCGUAACGAGAUGGGAGCUGUCUCAAAGAGGGAUCCAGUGAAAUUGUAGUGGAGGUGAAAAUUCCUCCUACCCGCGGCAAGACGGAAAGACCCCGUGGACCUUUACUACAGCUUGACACUGCUAUUUGGAUAAGAAUGUGCAGGAUAGGUGGGAGGCUUUGAGUAUAUGACGCCAGUUGUAUAUGAGCCAUUGUUGAGAUACCACUCUUUCUUAUUUGGGUAGCUAACCAGCUUGAGUUAUCCUCAAGUGGGACAAUGUCUGGUGGGUAGUUUGACUGGGGCGGUCGCCUCCCAAAUAAUAACGGAGGCUUACAAAGGUUGGCUCAGAACGGUUGGAAAUCGUUCGUAGAGUAUAAAGGUAUAAGCCAGCUUAACUGCAAGACAUACAAGUCAAGCAGAGACGAAAGUCGGUCUUAGUGAUCCGGUGGUUCUGUGUGGAAGGGCCAUCGCUCAAAGGAUAAAAGGUACCCCGGGGAUAACAGGCUGAUCUCCCCCAAGAGCUCACAUCGACGGGGAGGUUUGGCACCUCGAUGUCGGCUCAUCGCAUCCUGGGGCUGGAGCAGGUCCCAAGGGUAUGGCUGUUCGCCAUUUAAAGCGGUACGCGAGCUGGGUUCAGAACGUCGUGAGACAGUUCGGUCCCUAUCUGCCGUGGGCGUAAGAAGAUUGAAGAGAUUUGACCCUAGUACGAGAGGACCGGGUUGAACAAACCACUGGUGUAGCUGUUGUUCUGCCAAGAGCAUCGCAGCGUAGCUAAGUUUGGAAAGGAUAAACGCUGAAAGCAUCUAAGCGUGAAGCCAACUCUAAGAUGAAUCUUCUCUAAGCUCUCUAGAAGACUACUAGUUUGAUAGGCUGGGUGUGUAAUGGAUGAAAGUCCUUUAGCUGACCAGUACUAAUAGAGCGUUUGGCUUAUCUUUAAUAAAGCAU